GAAAAUAAACCUAACACUAACAAGGAUCAUCAACAAAGAAAAUGACAAAUAAGCAAAGGGAGAUGAAGAUUAUCUUUACUCUGUCUUUUUAGUAUUUUUGUAUUACUAGUGGAUCUACAAUACUAACACAAACAGGAGUCAAUAUCAAUUAAAGCUACAAGACAAGGACACAUUACUAUCAAACAUAAACAGAGGGAAGAAGCGAGAAUAUAUGAAAAAACAUAAUUGUUUCAAAUCAAACACACACACACACAUUUAUAUAUCACAGGUACAUAGCUAAUACAGGGACUACAGAACACACAAAACCACACAUAUGCGAACAGGAUACUACACCAUGGUUCAGGUUACACAAGAGACAACAGAAACAAAAUCUAACAAGCCACAAGAUUAGUACCCACAGAUCAACACAACACUAUUUAACAAGUAAAAAUUACUAGUAGAAAUUAACUAGUACAGCGAGAGGAAAUACACAGGGUGAACACAUAUAUAUGCCGACAGAACACAUAUUACCAAAGCCAAAAUGUUAGACAUCACUUAGUUUCGAAAGAAAAGAAAUCCACUAUUUGGAACAUAGAAUUCAUGACAUGAUAUUUAACAAGUACAAACUGAUCAAACUAGUUGGUUGCAAACACUUAUCAAAAUCUGAAACUUAAAAGUCCUACACAACUCCUAUUACAGAAAAUUCAGAGUACAUUAGCAAGAAAAGGGAGAGAUUCAAAGAUUAAUUCCCAAUCAAUCUUCAGGCUUGCAGCUGUAGAUGGUGUAGGUGAUGGAGAGGAUCAGCAGGGAGCGAGUUGGAGAAGGAGAGGUACAGCAGCAGAGGGCAGAGCAGCAGCGAGGUAGGGAGAAGAAAGAAACAGCAGCGUGAUGAGGGGAGGAGCAGCAGCGUGAGAUAUCAGCAAGGGGGCGCAGUAGAAGAAGAGAAGCAGCAGCAGUUUUGUUAUUCAGAAUGGACUAUGAGCAGCAGCAGGUUUGUGGUUCAGAGAAGACUAGGAGCGGCAGCAGUUGAUGUUCAGGGAAGAAGAAGUCUAGCAGCAACAGGAUUUGAGGAGAGGGAAGAAGUAGCAGGGCAAAGGAAGAAGGAGCAGGAUCAGGAGCAGCAGCAGGGGGUGAUGGUGGAGAUGCGGCGCUGGUGGCGGCGCUGUUGGAUGGUGCGUGAGGGUGCUGGGCGACGCAGCGACGCGAGGUGGUGAGCGGUGCUGGUGGAGAUGGUGGUGGCUUGCGGGGCUGAUGGAUGAAAGGCGCACCACCGCGCCGGCUUGGCCGUGGCGGCGGCCGGAGCUGGAGAAGGAGAGGUGAGGGAGAGACAAAGGUGUCGCCAGGCCCAAAGGGGAUCGGGCUGCAGCUAGGGAUUUUGAUCCUCUCCUCAGAUCUGUACUUUUGCACUUUGGCCCUUCUACUUCUCUUCCUACUUCACAAGUUGAUCCCUCCACUCUUUCUUUCUUGCCCUUGUCUUGUUCCUCAAUACUUUCUAGACAGAAACUUGUAGAUUAUAGUGCCUUGUCGCACUUUUCUGCAAAAGAAACACAAUGACUAGUAAAUGAUUCAUUAUAUGAUUUUCAUGCAAAUAUUCAACUAAACUUAGCAAGAAUAGAUGGGCAUAACUCGACGAAUGGUAUAACUCAAUGCCAAAAUUAUGUAUAUGAAAUGUGCUUAUCAAGGUCCCACACACUUAAAUCUUUGCUUGUCCUCAAGCAAAGGAAUAUGACAAGAACUAGAUAUUGAAUUGUGAGCUGACUAGAGAAUGUCCAAGUGAAGUAGAUCUCUAAACAAUGCAUGCUUUGGACUUAGCUAAUGAAAAUUAAUGGUCAAGAGUGCUACAAAGCAAUAGGAUACUAGUAGACUCAAUCAUUUUAAACUUUUACAAUGAUAAAAGUGGAUCAACAAGUUCAAAUGAUGAUUGUGCCAAAAGGUUCCUAAAGAGAGCAUGAUCCCAAGAACAAAGCUUGUGAUCAGAUCACUUAUUGCCAGGAACACAACAUUGUGGUUGAACCACUUAUUGAAUUUGAAGGAAGCAAAGAUAUUAUUUUAUCAGUCUCACCAAAGGAACAUACCACCGAUCCCGAGAAGAUGGUAUACACCUGGCUCAACCAAAUAUUAGUUUUUUUUGUUUGUCUCCCCAAAGGAACAUACCACCGAUCCCGAGAACAUGGUAUACACCUGGUUCGACAAUUACAUGUUUUUAUUAAUAAUUACUGCCCAAGCUAACCCGAUUUCACAUGCCACCAAUCCCGAGAACAUGACAUUCUACUAUAGGUAGUCAAACUAAUUUAUUCAUUAUUACUAAUCUUAAAUGAACAACGCAUAAGCACAAAAAUAGGAAUCAUCACUUCUCCAUGUCUGGUUCACAUGCUACCGAUCCAGGGAACGUAGCAUGCUAAUCCAUAGUGGUUAGGUGAUUGCUCUCAAUGGGAACACAUUAGGCACAAACUCAGCAUCUGACACUUAAUGAUCUAGGUGUAUCAAGGUAAAAGCAGAAAAUGAUUAAGUUUUCUAGUGUACUAGGGAUUUGAGCACUCAAAACUAAUAGCUUUCACUAAUUUCAGCAAAGCAAGCAUUGUGUAGAUUACUAGGUUACAAGGCAUUCAACACUCACUUCACAUAUUCACAUCAAGCACCAUAUGUCAAAUAAAAUUCAGUGGGGCAACAUUUAAGGCAUGGCUUAAGCAACCCAAAUAACAUUUGAUUUCAGCAUGUAUCAAUGGAUGAUAUACUCGGAAUAGGUCAUGAAACAGCUCACCGGGUUUUUAUAGGACGUAGCACUCGCUCGACACUCUCUAAACUGUAACUCUUCUCCUUUGCUUCCUCGUGCAUUGUUACUCCUCUCCUUUUGCUUCCCUAUCCUCAUGCCUGCUCCAGCUUCUCUCUUCAUGUGUGCUCCUUACUUCUCCUCAUCGCCAUGCUCUGACUCCACCAGGAUCCCAAGGGAUGUCACCUCGAACCUGGUCAGCAUGUAUUGAUUCAUGCACAAGCAAAAACCUGAAAUAGGACUCACACAAACAACAACUACAAGUGAUAGGGUAGAUGCCCUCUAAAUCAUCAAUAGAGUACCCAAUUACAUAAGCAUAGCUAUAAAGCACAUGUUUAGAAUGGUAGAAAUCAGUAAGCUCAAUGCUAGCAUGAAGAUGAUAUGAAUCAUUAAGCUCCAGACUAACAUGAGAAUGACAUGUUUCAUUAAGCAUGGGUCUAGCAUGAGGAAAAUAAGUGUAAUCGUAACAAAUGUGAGCAAUGCCAUGAACAUGGUAUAUAUCAUCAUAUCCAAGCAAAUACUUUCUCAAAUCUACCUUAAUUGAUGGUAUUAUGUAAUGCAAGGUAGAAGCAAAUAAGUCAUAGGGACGCAUGUCAUCAAGAGGAUUAGAUAAACCUUCUACAUCACGCUCUUGUAUGACAAUAGGCAAAUGAAUUUCUGGUUCUUCAAGUUCAUCUACAACAACUUCUUUUGCUUCUUCAAGAGUAGUAGAUGAUGAAUCUUCAACUUGAUCACUUGGUUGUUCGAGCUCUGGAUCAUCUUGUUCCUCCUCUUCGAGUAUUUCUUCUUCAAGUUGAGAUCUCUCUUCCUCUGGAUCUUCUAUGGUGCUACUACCAGCAACACCUAAUUGAGUCUGAAGUGUCCCCAUCUGUGAAUAUGCACUAACAUGAUCUGGUAGGGGUGCUGAGAUCACUACCUCGCUGUCUUUCUGAGCAAUAUUCUCCUCAUCACCAUCACUGCUAAGUUUCAACACUGACACUGAUGACUUCCACCAGUCAUGCAGCUCAGCAACACGUGGGAUCUUCUCAGGAUAUUGAAGUAUCAACUCUUCUAAAUUUGACUCAACUAUCUCUCUCCUUGGAAUGUCUCCGACUUGCUUAGAUGUAUGUGCAGGAGUUGGAAUCUCAUCUUCACUAUUCUUCUCUAAGAUACUCUCUUUAACUGAGAUAGAGGCAACCACCGGUGGAGCUAAUGAUUUCUUCUUGACAAAUAUCCCAGAUACAGUUGUAACACAAGUGUGGGCAAUUGGUGCCACGACUAAAUUCCACGAGUCACAUAGUUGACUAACACAAGUGAAUUUCUCCAUAUCUUGCUGUCUCAACUUAGCAUCAAUCAGAGUAGGUUCCUCAUAAACAUCUUCUUGCAACUUUGACUCAAUCUGGACAGUUUCAUUGCCAUGAGGUAUUGGAUCUGCUACUGUGGUUUCCAUCCGAUCUACAAUGGUUGCAUCAUCUUGAAAAAUAUCAUAAUCAUCAUCAAGGAUACUUGAAGUAAGAUCAAUCUUUCUACAUGGAGGAUCUAAUUCAGCUCUGAAAUGUUGUUGUCCCCGGAAUGGAACAUGCUGGUUUUGAAUAUUAGGCACCAUGGAUGAUUUCUGUUCACUUAUGGAACACACAGCUUCUGAUUGCAGAUGGCUUGCAACCUUCGGAUUUGAACUAGGCCUUUCACAACCCCAUUGCAUUUGGUGGAAGGCAAUGCUCUCAAUGAGAAUAAUUGCACCCUCAACGGUCUUGUUCAUGAUUGUUCCACCAGCUGACAUAUCAAUAAGAUCUCUCGAAGCAUGUGUCAUCCCUCUAUAGAAUAUCUGGAGCACUAACCAAUCCUUUUGCCCAUGAUUAGGACAUUUUCUAAGCAAAUACUUAUAUCUCUCCCAAGCUGCAUACAAGCUCUCACUUCCAUCUUGCGCAAAACUGAGGAUCUGGUCACGAAUUGCAGCUUGCUUGUAAAGUGGAAAAUAUCUGUGCAGGAAAGCUUGUGAAAUAUCACCCCAAGUGUAUGAUCUUGAUGGCAAAGAAUAGUACGAGUCCUUAGCAGCAUCUCUGAGAGAGAAUGUGAACAGCAUACACUUGAUAGCAUCUUGGGAAACCCAUGGUACUGGACAGUAUUGGCAUACUCCAGGACAUUACAAAUGUGCUCAUGAGGGUCUUCAUUGGGUAAUCCUCUAAACUGAUUCUGCAAGACGAGAGCAAUAAGUCCAGGCCUCAACUCAAAAUUUUCGGCCUCAAUAGAUGGCCAAAUUGGCCCUGUCAUCGUGCCCAAACUACUUGGCAACCAAAGAUCACGUACUAAAGCCAUAUGUUCAAGCGCAACUGUCAAUCAGCCUACAAAUAGUAAGAUAUCCUACACACGCUCACAAACAUCAAGCUCUGGUGAGAGGGUUAGUAUCCUAAUAAGCCGAAGCAACAAAAAGUAAAAAGGUAAAAGAAACACAGAAAUAAAUUUGACUGGAAAUUUAAACAAGAACUAUACUAAGCCUAGUCUAAAGCUUCACACAAUCGCUCGAUGCUAGUCCCCGGCAACGGCGCCAAAAUGAUCAAUUGUAAGUGUAGCGGGAUUUUUACGCCCAAACUAUGAGUGUCGUGUUCUCCACAGGGACUAGGCGACGACAAGUACGUUCGACUAAAGCUAGGUGACCCAAUUGAAUGAUGAGAAUAGAAAAUAAACCUAACACUAACAAGGAUCAUCAACAGAGAAAAUGACAAAUAAGCAAAGGGAGAUGAAGAUUAUCUUUACUCUGUCUUUUUAGUAUUUUUGUAUUACUAGCGGAUCUACAAUACUAACACAAACAGGAGUCAAUAUCAAUUAAAGCUACAAGACAAAGACACAUUACUAUCAAACAUAAACAAAGGAAAGAAGCGAGAAUAUAUGACAAAACAUAAUUGUUUCAAAUCAAACACACACACACACACACAUUUAUAUAUCACAGGUACAUAGCUAAUACAGGGACUACAGAACACACAAAACCGCACAUAUGCGAAUAGGAUACUACACCACGGUUCAGGUUACACAAGAGACAACAGAAA
This 5772-nucleotide long non-coding RNA is filed under the name Triticum aestivum (bread wheat). RNAcentral's name for it is "long non-coding RNA (TAES_LNC016057)". Lineage: Eukaryota; Viridiplantae; Streptophyta; Magnoliopsida; Poales; Poaceae. The record is from RNAcentral.